RNAcentral lists this ribosomal RNA (497 nucleotides) under uncultured bacterium. Its description in RNAcentral is "partial 16S ribosomal RNA". It matches the Rfam family "Bacterial small subunit ribosomal RNA", at positions 28 to 507 of the family's 1533-position model. The record is from RNAcentral.
GAUGAACGCUGGCGGCGUGCCUAAUACAUGCAAGUCGAGCGAACGGACGAGAAGCUUGCUUCUCUGAUGUUAGCGGCGGACGGGUGAGUAACACGUGGAUAACCUACCUAUAAGACUGGGAUAACUUCGGGAAACCGGAGCUAAUACCGGAUGAUAUUUUGAACCGCAUGGUUCAAAAGUGAAAGACGGUCUUGCUGUCACUUAUAGAUGGAUCCGCGCUGCAUUAGCUAGUUGGUAAGGUAACGGCUUACCAAGGCAACGAUGCAUAGCCGACCUGAGAGGGGGAUCGGCCACACAGGAACUGAGACACGGUCCAAACUCCUGCGGGAGGCAGAAGUACGGAAUCUUCCGCAGUGGGCGAAAGCCUGACAGAACAACACCGAGUGAGUGAUGAAAGUCUUCGGAUCGUAAAACUCUGUUAUUAGGGAAGAACAUAUGUGUAAGUAACUGUACACAUCUUGACGGUACCUAAUCAGAAAGCCACGGCUAACUACGUG